Non-coding RNA from Macaca mulatta (Rhesus monkey), 1629 nucleotides. The record is from RefSeq and is a predicted model, not a curated record. NCBI's taxonomy places the organism in Eukaryota, Metazoa, Chordata, Mammalia, Primates, Cercopithecidae.
GUAGAGACAGGGUUUCACCAUGCUGACCAGGCUGGUCUUGAACUCCUGACCUCAUAAUCCUCCCGCCUCGGCCUCCCAAAGUGUUGGGAUCACAGGUGUGAGCCACCGUGUCCGGCCCAGAGCACUUUCUACUCCACCUCUGCACCUCUUUGACUGCUCUGUCAUUAAUAUCACUGAUUUUCUUUUGGGCCAGUUUUUAGUUCUGGCUUAUACUGAAACUAACGGACAUGCCACCUGAUGUGGACAGAGGUAGCUUAGAGGAUGUGGUCACGUUUUGGGAAUCCAGUAUGGAGACUGAGAUCCAGCAUUAACCGUGGCUGAGAUCUAUCUCGAUCACAUGCACACAUAUGUGUUCUCUCUCAAACACAUGCACACAUAUGUGUUCUCUCUCGAACACAUGCACACCUGUACACCCACGUGCAUUUAAGUAGAAACAAUUGAGGGCUGCUAAUCCAAUCAAACAGUUGAUCUCUUCCAGUCGCUGGAAAGGCAGCAGAGAGGGCAUGGGAACAGACACGCCUGGAUGAGGAACUCCAGCUCCACCUACUUAACAGCUGUGUGAUCUUGGAUGUGCCAUUUGUUCUCUUGCCUCAGUUCGUUCAUCUGUGAAGUGGAGCAAACAUCACAUCCCUGGUGGUUGUGAAGAUUAACCAUGAUCAUGUGUAUGUGGCACAUACUGUUACUUACCUACCUGUUAUCCCUUAAGUCACUGGGGUGAAGGUUUGAAAACACUUGUGAAAGAGGGUGGUGUCAGCUGAUGUAUACAUUUCUCUGUUUGUCUUUCAUUUUUCUUACUGUUCAAGUGAAAUGCCAGAAGGUUGAGCUUCAGUCUAGUGACCAGGAAGGCAAGGGGCACAUGCUAGAAAUAGAAGACAAUGGUGCCUUGGUCUCUAUUGGUAGAUUGAAUGAUUUAUUAAAAACAUAUUCACAGUGCCUUUCUGUAGGACCCCAGCUCCUGCCACUUCACGGGAUAGGACAGCACUCCCACGCCAUUCAAUCAGGCAUGGCCGUAUGUCUUGCAUUAGCCAGUGGGAUGUGAGCAGAAGUGACUAUGCCCUGCUUGAGAAGAAGUUCAGUGCCAUCCCGUGAUUUUACUUUUCCUUUGACAUGAGGCCGCAAGUCCCAGAGAGGGGCUGCUCCUUCUGCUUGGACCUCAGAAAGAAGUGCAUCACAUCUUGCCUGGAUGACUGCAGUAGCCACUAAGCUGGUCGCAGAGUGAGCUUUCUUAAAUGCAAAUGUAAGGAUGGCAGAGCCUCAAGUGCUUCAGUUUCUCCAAGUGCCUAUUCCCUGAGUGGCAUGACACUGAAGGCCCUCUGAGUCUGCAGCUAUCUUUCCACUCUCAUUGGUGUGUACACCUGGAGCUGUCACUUUUUCAAUAAUGCAUUUCUGACUCCCUCAUCAACAAAGGUAUUUACUCCUUCCUCCUUGCUGCCAGUAAACCACUGAGAACAUGCCCUCCUUUGGUAUUUCAAUGGCAUUUGUAAUUAUGUGUCUUUCCCUGUCUUCCUCACUGAUCUGUGAACUCCAGCACGCAGGAAACUUGUCUUAUUCUCUUUCACAUCAAACAGGGUCUGGCCCUAAUAAGUACUAAAGAAAUGUUUGCUGAAUGAAUAAACACUAAUAUUUCUU